This 780-nucleotide ribosomal RNA is filed under the name uncultured bacterium. RNAcentral's name for it is "bacterial SSU rRNA". It matches the Rfam family "Bacterial small subunit ribosomal RNA", at positions 668 to 1447 of the family's 1533-position model. The record is from RNAcentral.
UCCAUGUGUAGCGGUGAAAUGCGUAGAUAUAUGGAGGAACACCAGUGGCGAAAGCGGCUCUCUGNUCCGUCACUGACGCUGAGGCUCGAAAGCGUGGGUAGCGAACAGGAUUAGAUACCCUGGUAGUNCACGCCGUAAACGAUGAGUGCUAGGUGUUAGGCCCUUUCCGGGGCUUAGUGCCGGAGCUAACGCAAUAAGCACUCCGCCUGGGGAGUACGACCGCAAGGUUGAAACUCAAAGGAAUUGACGGGGGCCCGCACAAGCGGUGGAGCAUGUGGUUUAAUUCGAAGCAACGCGAAGAACCUUACCAGGUCUUGACAUCCCGAUGCUAUUCUUAGAGAUAGGAAGUUACUUCGGUACAUCGGAGACAGGUGGUGCAUGGUUGUCGUCAGCUCGUGUCGUGAGAUGUUGGGUUAAGUCCCGCAACGAGCGCAACCCUUAUUGUUAGUUGCCAUCAUUAAGUUGGGCACUCUAGCGAGACUGCCGGUAAUAAACCGGAGGAAGGUGGGGAUGACGUCAAAUCAUCAUGCCCCUUAUGACCUGGGCUACACACGUGCUACAAUGGUCGGUACAACGAGUUGCGAGCCGGUGACGGCAAGCUAAUCUCUGAAAGCCGAUCUCAGUUCGGAUUGGAGGCUGCAACUCGCCUCCAUGAAGUCGGAAUCGCUAGUAAUCGCGGAUCAGCACGCCGCGGUAAAUACGUUCCCGGGCCUUGUACACACCGCCCGUCACACCACGAGAGUUUGUAACACCCGAAGUCGGUGAGGUANCCUUUUAGGG